GACGAACGCUGGCGGCGUGCCUAAUACAUGCAAGUAGAACGCUGAAGGAGGAGCUUGCUUCUCUGGAUGAGUUGCGAACGGGUGAGUAACGCGUAGGUAACCUGCCUGGUAGCGGGGGAUAACUAUUGGAAACGAUAGCUAAUACCGCAUAAGAGUAGAUGUUGCAUGACAUUUGCUUAAAAGGUGCAAUUGCAUCACUACCAGAUGGACCUGCGUUGUAUUAGCUAGUUGGUGGGGUAACGGCUCACCAAGGCGACGAUACAUAGCCGACCUGAGAGGGUGAGCGGCCACACUGGGACUGAGACACGGCCCAGACUACUACGGGAGGCAGCAGUAGGGAAUCUUCGGCAAUGGACGGAAGUCUGACCGAGCAACGCCGCGUGAGUGAAGAAGGGUUUCGGAUCGUAAAGCUCUGUUGUAAGAGAAGAACGAGUGUGAGAGUGGAAAGUUCACACUGUGACGGUAGCUUACCAGAAAGGGACGGCUAACUACGUG
This 495-nucleotide ribosomal RNA is filed under the name uncultured bacterium. Its description in RNAcentral is "partial 16S ribosomal RNA". It matches the Rfam family "Bacterial small subunit ribosomal RNA", at positions 28 to 507 of the family's 1533-position model. The record is from RNAcentral.